CCGACGCCCGAACAGUGCGAUGCGUGGAUCGAACUGUCGGCGAUCCUCGACGACCCGGAAUUCGUCAACACCAUGCGCGCCAACGCGAAAGAGGUCUGGGACAAUGCCGACUUCGACCUCGCCGCCUGGCAGCAGGCCGGCGAUCCGUUCCUGGCGAAAGCGAAAAAUGCCAUCGAGCAGGGGUUCGGACCGGAAUCGGAGACAGCCCAUGCGCUUGCGCAGGAAUGGCUGGAAACCUCCGCGCCUGUGAUGGGCCGCGCGCCGGAUGACGACUACAAGGCGUGGCUGCGCACGCGAUACGCUGCGCAUGAUGCCCGCGCGGUGCGCUAUUGGGAGCUUGUCGCGAUCAUGAAAGGCCAGUCGCCGCAGACCAGCCCCAACCGG
This 384-nucleotide unclassified non-coding RNA is filed under the name Hevea brasiliensis (rubber tree). Lineage: Eukaryota; Viridiplantae; Streptophyta; Magnoliopsida; Malpighiales; Euphorbiaceae. The record is from RNAcentral.